Molecule: long non-coding RNA, 404 nt
Organism: Myotis myotis
Lineage: Eukaryota; Metazoa; Chordata; Mammalia; Chiroptera; Vespertilionidae
Exons: 2
Source: RefSeq, a predicted model, not a curated record
UCCAGGUCCAGCCGCGGCGGGAACGCGAUCGCGAGUGGGCGCGGUCUCCCCGCGUUUGCGCAGGUUUGAGGGCGCGAGGUAGAGCCGGUAUGAAACCCAGAGCCGACCCGCCGUAGACCCCCAAGGUCCUGCGGGACCUUGCUGAUUGCAAACCGGAAUCACUGCAUGUGCGACCUUGAACAGGAAGAAUGCACCUUUCUCUGCCAUCGAGGUACACGCGUUCACUUCUCCUUCACCGUGUCUUCCCAGAAGACUUUCAGGAUCAUGAGGUACCUGGCCAAGAAACAAAAGCAGAAUCGGCCCAUUCCCCAGUGGAUUUGGAUGAAAACUGGUGAUAAAAUCAGGUACAACUCGAAGAGGAGACAUUGGAGAAGAACCAAACUGGACCAAUGAGAAAUCACACA